AGAGUUUGAUCCUGGCUCAGGAUGAACGCUAAGGCCUAACACAUGCAAGUCGAGGGGUAACACAUGCAAGUCGAACGGCAGCGCGGACUUCGGUCUGGCGGCGAGUGGCGAACGGGUGAGUAAUGUAUCGGAACGUACCUUUCAGUGGGGGAUAACGUAGCGAAAGUUACGCUUAUACCGCAUAUUCUGUGAGCAGGAAAGCAGGGGAUCGCAAGACCUUGCGCUGAUUGAGCGGCCGAUAUCAGAUUAGCUAGUUGGUGAGGUAAAAGCUCACCAAGGCGACGAUCUGUAGCGGGUCUGAGAGGAUGAUCCGCCACACUGGAACUGAGACACGGUCCAGACUCCUACGGGAGGCAGCAGUGGGGAAUUUUGGACAAUGGGGGCAACCCUGAUCCAGCCAUGCCGCGUGAGUGAAGAAGGCCUUCGGGUUGUAAAGCUCUUUCGGCCGGGAAGAAAUCGUACGGGCUAAUACCCUGUGCGGAUGACGGUACCGGCAUAAGAAGCACCGGCUAACUACGUGCCAGCAGCCGCGGUAAUACGUAGGGUGCGAGCGUUAAUCGGAAUUACCGGGCGUAAAGCGUGCGCAGGCGGUUUUGUAAGACAGGCGUGAAAUCCCCGGGCUCAACCUGGGAACUGCGCUUGUGACUGCAAGGCUAGAGUAUGGCAGAGGGGGGUGGAAUUCCACGUGUAGCAGUGAAAUGCGUAGAGAUGUGGAGGAACACCAAUGGCGAAGGCAGCCCCCUGGGCCAAUACUGACGCUCAUGCACGAAAGCGUGGGUAGCAAACAGGAUUAGAUACCCUGGUAGUCCACGCCCUAAACGAUGUCAACUAGGUGUUGGGUGGGUAAAACCAUUUAGUACCGUAGCUAACGCGUGAAGUUGACCGCCUGGGGAGUACGGCCGCAAGGUUAAAACUCAAAGGAAUUGACGGGGACCCGCACAAGCGGUGGAUGAUGUGGAUUAAUUCGAUGCAACGCGAAAA
Molecule: ribosomal RNA, 981 nt
Filed under: uncultured beta proteobacterium
Lineage: Bacteria; Pseudomonadati; Pseudomonadota; Betaproteobacteria
Description: bacterial SSU rRNA
Rfam family: Bacterial small subunit ribosomal RNA
Source: RNAcentral